UUCACAAACCAGCUUAGCAAGCGGGAGGUGGGAUUUGUCGAGGAGGUCGCGAAUGAUGAAGGGAGGUGGAUUUAUCAAGCAUAGGCUGCAUGCGCCGGAGCUGAUCAAGAUCUCCCAGCAACUUCUCCAACUACUUUGAGAGCUUCAGCUCCAAUAUCUCGGGUGAGCUUGGCCGGUUGGCCUCAAUCAUGCAAGGCUCGACACUAGAUCCGGAGGAUUGAGGUCCAGAGCUAGAAUUAGGUUAGGGUUGUGGGAUUCUUCGUGUGAGAUGUUGGAGGUGACGGCUGCAAAGAGGGGAGGCAGCGGCGCAGUUACGGUUACUGGCGGAGCAACUGGACGUAGGAGGUCUAGAGACUGGAGCUGUAAGUGUCGACUAGGGUUGGAGACUUGGAAUGUCGGACUUUAGGGUUUAGAUCAACAACCUUUUAUAUUUAGUUUUUUCUCGUAAAUAUAUUAUUUUUAAGGGGUAUUUAAAAAUAUAUAAAGCAGUUUUAGGGCGGAUAAUGGUAGGGCAGAUUCAGGACGAAUCAAGUUUUUCCUCAAUUCCUGCCCCAAAUCAGCCUCGGAUCAUAAAAACUACCCUGUUUAUUACCCUGAAUCCAUUUAUUUUCCCCCGUUUACUGCCCUAUUCAGAGCGGAUAGGGGCGGGAGCUCCACCAACCCAGAUCCACUUGCAUCCCUAUUCACAAGACCACAACCAUGAGUACAUCAAUCUGACUCAACUGACUAAACCUAAUUGCAAAGAAACUUCGUUCUAACAAUUGAUAGAUCCACUUGGUUGUUCUAUCACUAGAUGGUUGAACAUAACAAAAUAGCACGACUUUACCACAGCAACUUCUACUAGAUCAUUCUCAAGGAAGAAGUACGUACAACCCUAACUUCAUAAUGCAGCAAAGGAUGGAUACUAAAUAUUAGAAAAACCAAUACCUUCAGUUGCAUUUCCUCAAGAGGAAAUGACAGCAACAAGCAUCAGGACCCAGCCUCCGUCACUGUAAUCAAUUUUAUUAGGAAAGAGUUGAUAAAUAUGAUAAGGCAAAAGACAUAACAUCAACUCAAGAGUCUUCCUCUUGGUAUUUAACCCAAUCUGGAUACUCUUGAAAGGUCCAUAUCAAUGCAAAAGCAUAAAGCAUUGAGUGGACUCUUUAGUUAAAACAACAUUCUGUUAAGAUACAUUUUGCUUUUACAUAACAAAAGUGAGAAGAUCAUGAUGUACUCCGUGAAUAUAGAAGGCCAAACUGUUGAGAUGUGAAAGGAUAGUAAAUACGGUCAGUAAAAAGCUAAGCAAAAUGCAAUUUGAUAUAGCACACCUAAUAAGGACCACAACAUAAAAUGCCAAUUUCCAUAAAUUAUGUAUGUUUUGAGGGAAAUCUCUUUAGUCCACCCUGUAGAAAUGACGCCUCAUUUUUGUUGAUGCCAUUUUUUGGUUCUAUAUAGAGAAAAAAAAGCUAUGCAAUUGGAUGUGCCAGCGGAUGGACUUGUCUACAUUUGUCAUCAUUAGCUAGCUUACAAUGCAACAUUGUUGAAUGUUGGAAGACAUCUUUACACCGUUAAAUUCACAAACGCAUCACAUCGGCCAUUAAAAUUGUCAAUUUUGAGACCUUUGAUCACUAGCCAAAUAAUGUCGAAAAAUUAUGAAAUUUAAUUUUCAAAUACUUUCAAUAGUGUAGAUCAAGUCUAACAGAGCCAAUCGUCGAUUUGGAAGCCACAUCAUCGAAAACAACUUGGUAGCACGGAGGCCUCCUUGCUACC
This 1749-nucleotide long non-coding RNA is filed under the name Ananas comosus (pineapple). RNAcentral's name for it is "long non-coding RNA (ACOM_LNC022481)". The record is from RNAcentral. Lineage: Eukaryota; Viridiplantae; Streptophyta; Magnoliopsida; Poales; Bromeliaceae.